GUGAAGGAACAGAGUCAAGCGGGUAUCCUCCUGGCAGCCUGUUGAGUCGCAUCAAGAUUUCAGGUACCGUGAGGAGGCGCAUAGCUGAAGUUUGGAAACGGCAGCACCGAAGCGGACGUAGAGAACGUGUCGCCGUCCACGUCCGGCUGACGAUGGAUUUUGUCCGGUUGUCUUGCAAAAGCUAAGUGUCGGGGCCAGUAGGUGGGAGAAGGGGAAAAACCUUUACUAUCACAGGAGACAAUUAGAUGUUAGCUUAGAGGAGAGGCCCAUAGUGGGACGGGCCCCUCGGAAGCAGAGGGAGAGGGUUUCUCCUCAGCCUCACCAGAGUCUUCGCCGGGCAGGGCAGUUCCGAUCCAUCUUCGCGUCCUCGCGAGGUUUGCGUCGGCGGCCUUCUUCGACUCUCGACAUCGUCGUGGAUCUUUUCACCCGAGGAGCCCGCCUUCACGUCCGGAGCUCUAGCCACGGUCACGCCGUAGUCAUCGCUUUCUUGUCUAGGCCUACUGAGCUUCUUAGGCUUCCUCUUAAGUCCUUUGGCACUAACAUCUUGAAAGGAGUUAAAUUUCAUCAUCACAUGCUAUUGCCCUAGGGCUUUCUUUCCUUUGGCAUCAUCGGCCUAUGACUCAUCUUGGACUAGCAAUCUUGGGUCCAUAAGGUGGAACUGGCAGGCAGUUUCCACUCGUGUCUGUGUUAUGUCGUCCGUGUCUGUGUUAUGUCGUCCGUGUCUGUGUUAUGUCGUCCGUGUCUGUGUUAUGUCGUCCGUGUCCAUUGAUUUCUGCGUCAUAGGCCUUUGUUACAUCUCGAGGCUUUAUCGGCAUUGUUCUCUGCCGUAUCGGCCAUAUUUUACUCGUGUACCUUCCUGGAUAUCGCUUAUUCCGGCAUCGUUACAUUUUUACUUUUUGAGACGGGAAGAAGUACAGGAGACGUUCUCAUCCAUCUUCCUUCUCACCUUUGGUAGCGCCUUCUCUUCACAUGCUAUUCUCUCGGACUUCUAGAGGGAGCAUAUUAGACCCUCAUCACCUGACCGCAGUAGUUCCGUAGCUUGCGCCUUCUCAAAGGGUAUAGGGCUCAACAAUUAAUCUUCCGGAGAGUUACGUCAAGUCCUCGCUUAUAUUGUAUCUACGUCGGCAUAUAUUGUACGUGCUUAGGUUGUACCUACCUAUGUUGGCUUAUACUGUAUGUGCUUAUAUUGUAUGUACUUAUGUCGUAUGUACCUAUGUCGGUUUAUAUUGUAUGUACUUAUACUGUAUGUACCUACGUUGGCUUAUAUUGUGCAUAUAUUGUAUGUACCUACCUUGGCUUAUGUUGUACACGCCUCUGUCGCGCCACUUACGAUCGGAGCUGCCCUGCCCAGGCACGUAGUCACGGUUAGGUAGAGCAGUUAUAAAACUUUACAGUUCAUCUGUCUUCUAUGGGGGUUUUGGGUACAAAAUUUAUGGGCCCGGAGCGGGAACAGCUCCUAGCCGUCAGAUAGUCACUCGUCGACCGCCUCCCGUCGUCUCUGUCGUCUCGCAGGUCCCCGGAUCCCUACACGUUAUCCCGGAAUCUACCGCCGGACAUCGAAGAGCCGCGGUCAGAAGACGCGUCGAAGCGUCAACGUAGCGUUUCAAGUAAGGGUCGCGGUCAGCGUGUAAGCGGAAGAGCG
Molecule: long non-coding RNA, 1642 nt
Organism: Vidua macroura (Pin-tailed whydah)
Lineage: Eukaryota; Metazoa; Chordata; Aves; Passeriformes; Viduidae
Exons: 3
Source: RefSeq, a predicted model, not a curated record